This 45-nucleotide non-coding RNA is filed under the name Schistosoma mansoni. Lineage: Eukaryota; Metazoa; Platyhelminthes; Trematoda; Strigeidida; Schistosomatidae. The record is from RNAcentral.
AUCCAGCUGACGAGUCCCAAAUAGGACGAAGAUCGCGUCCUGGAU